RNAcentral lists this unclassified non-coding RNA (440 nucleotides) under Hevea brasiliensis (rubber tree). Lineage: Eukaryota; Viridiplantae; Streptophyta; Magnoliopsida; Malpighiales; Euphorbiaceae. The record is from RNAcentral.
CUGGAAAUUUUGGAGAUGCGUUAUCUUUUGUGGGCAGCUCAGGAAUGUAGGAAACAACUCUCUUAACAAUCACACUAUCCAGGUCCUCUUCUUCCCCAGAAGAUAUGGGAGAUAGGGAAAGGUGCUGCCUUUUCUCAAAUUCAAUUAAUUUCAGCCUCUGGACUUCUGACAGGAUAUUUCUUUUGAAAUCUGAUGUCUGGAAAUCAUGACCAGGAUUAUCAACAUUUACAGAGCAAUCCAUUCCUUGGGCAAUAAAACCACCAUGAGGAAUUGAAGGGACUUCUUUUGAGACCUCAGAAGAGCCUUCAUUUGCUCCAGCCAAUAUUUGCUUCAUUUCAGUGGGAAUAGAAAUAAUUAGCUGCUUGUUCUUAAUUUCAAACAAGAAUACUGUUAAGCAGGCACCACAUUGCAGUUUCUGCUGAUUUUUCUCCCUUGCUUUA